This 606-nucleotide ribosomal RNA is filed under the name uncultured fungus. RNAcentral's name for it is "eukaryotic LSU rRNA". The stretch from base 234 to 387 matches the Rfam family "5.8S ribosomal RNA". The record is from RNAcentral. Lineage: Eukaryota; Fungi.
CUUGGUCAUUUAGAGGAAGUAAAAGUCGUAACAAGGUCUCCGUAGGUGAACCUGCGGAGGGAUCAUUACACAAAUAUGAAGGCGGGCUGGAACCUCUCGGGGUUACAGCCUUGCUGAAUUAUUCACCCUUGUCUUUUGCGUACUUCUUGUUUCCUUGGUGGGUUCGCCCACCACUAGGACAAACAUAAACCUUUUGUAAUUGCAAUCAGCGUCAGUAACAAAUUAAUAAUUACAACUUUCAACAACGGAUCUCUUGGUUCUGGCAUCGAUAAAGAACGCAGCGAAAUGCGAUAAGUAGUGUGAAUUGCAGAAUUCAGUGAAUCAUCGAAUCUUUGAACGCACAUUGCGCCCUUUGGUAUUCCAAAGGGCAUGCCUGUUCGAGCGUCAUUUGUACCCUCAAGCUUUGCUUGGUGUUGGGCGUCUUGUCUCUAGCUUUGCUGGAGACUCGCCUUAAAGUAAUUGGCAGCCGGCCUACUGGUUUCGGAGCGCAGCACAAGUCGCACUCUCUAUCAGCAAAGGUCUAGCAUCCAUUAAGCCUUUUUUUCAACUUUUGACCUCGGAUCAGGUAGGGAUACCCGCUGAACUUAAGCAUAUCAAUAAGCGGAG